GCCCUCUAUUCCACCCCUCACCUUGAAAUACAGCAAUAUGAUAUGGCAAGAGUCUUAUCCAGCGGAUGCCACCCCUAGGUCGGCAAUCACUGUUCCACCUCUCUGGGGUGACAGCAGGGCUCACAGGAGGAUACCUGGGGAGAUGUGCAUUUUCAGAAACUCCCAUUUCACUUUUAAGGGCAGACAACCUGCCCAUCUGUGCUGAUUUGGAAAAGCUGGGUGCAUGGGCAAGUGAGCGUGGGACCCUCAGGGACAGGAGCUGGUGGAUGACCAGGACAAGCUGUUGUAUGGCUGGCUCUCCCUGCCCCAAACCCUGAUGUUCCAGAGUUGCAAGUGAGCCUGCCAAGGGCUAGUGUCCCGAAGAAAGAUCUGGAAUGCCUCAUCUCUGGUUUUCACAGCUAUACUUUAGUGCCCAGAACACCACCGCCUGGCACUGAAUGAAAGUUUGUUGUCCACAGGAAAUGUGCUGCAGCCUGGGGCCGGGGCAAUCAUGGCCCGAAUCGCCCAGUUUCUGAGUGACAUCCCGGAGACUGUGCCUUUGUCCACUGUCAAUAGACAGUGUUCGUCGGGGCUACAGGCAGUGGCCAGCAUAGCAGGGUGGAGUCCAUGUCCCUGGCUGACAGAGGGAACCCUGGAAAUAUUACUUCGCGCUUGAU
Molecule: long non-coding RNA, 656 nt
Filed under: Homo sapiens (human)
Lineage: Eukaryota; Metazoa; Chordata; Mammalia; Primates; Hominidae
Description: non-protein coding lnc-PLCD1-1:26
Source: RNAcentral